This 209-nucleotide ribosomal RNA is filed under the name Taenia hydatigena. RNAcentral's name for it is "partial small subunit ribosomal RNA". The record is from RNAcentral. Lineage: Eukaryota; Metazoa; Platyhelminthes; Cestoda; Cyclophyllidea; Taeniidae.
UCGUUAUGUUGGUGUAUAUCUGGUUUAUAUUAUCGUUGAGUAAGUGAGUUUGUGUAGUUUUAUUUAAGCCAAGUCUAUGUGCUGCUUAUGAAAGUAUUCAUGCGUUACAUUUAUAAGGUUUUGGUUGUAAUACUAAAAUAUUUAGGACUUAAAAGUAAUGUUCAAUAAGUUUGUGAGUGUGAAGUAAGUUUAGCUCAUGUACACACCGC